GGGACGGUGGUGUAAGACGAACAUCGCUGCCCGGAAAGCAGAAGAUGCGGGUUCGAGUCCCGCCUGGCGCA
Non-coding RNA from Heligmosomoides polygyrus, 71 nucleotides. The record is from Rfam. Lineage: Eukaryota; Metazoa; Nematoda; Chromadorea; Rhabditida; Heligmosomidae.